This 160-nucleotide unclassified non-coding RNA is filed under the name uncultured Chalara. Its description in RNAcentral is "sequence contains ITS1". The record is from RNAcentral. Lineage: Eukaryota; Fungi; Ascomycota; Leotiomycetes; Helotiales.
CAGAGAACAUCGCCCUCACGGGUGACUCUCCAACCCAAUGUUAUAUUAUACCUUUGUUGCUUUGGCGAGCCGUCUCGGCCACCGGCUCACGCUGGUGAGUGCUCGCCAGAGGACCCCAAACUCUGAAUUAAAGUAUUGUCUGAGUACUAUAUAAUAGUUA